Molecule: RNA transcript, 362 nt
Organism: Cebus imitator (Panamanian white-faced capuchin)
Lineage: Eukaryota; Metazoa; Chordata; Mammalia; Primates; Cebidae
Gene name: 60S ribosomal protein L22-like 1
Exons: 1
Source: RefSeq, a predicted model, not a curated record
UGACUUGCAAGAUGGUGCCACAGAAAGACAAGAAGCCCAAGAGGUCAACCUGGAAGUUUAAUUUGGACCUUAUUCAUCCAGGAGAAGAUGGAAUUUUUGAUUCUGGACAUUUUGAAAAAUUUCUGUGGGAGAAGGUUCAAGUCAAUGGCAAAACUGGAAACCUUGGGAACCUUGUUCACAUUGAAUGCUUCAAGAAUUAAAUCACUGUUGUUUCUGAGAAACAGUUCUCUAAAAGGUAUUUGAAAUACUUUGCCAAGAAAUACCUUAAGAAGAACAAUCUUUGUGAUUGGCUUCGAGUGGCUGCAACUGACAAGGAGACUUAAGAACUUUGUUACUUCCAGAUGAGUCAAGAUGAAGAUUAA